GGGGGUGUAGCUCAGAGGGGAGAGCACCUGCUUUGCAAGCAGGGGGUCGUCGGUUCGAUUCCGAUCACCUCCA
This 73-nucleotide transfer RNA is filed under the name Methyloceanibacter sp. RNAcentral describes it as "tRNA-Ala". It matches the Rfam family "tRNA". From Rfam's summary of the family: Transfer RNA (tRNA) molecules are approximately 80 nucleotides in length. Their secondary structure includes four short double-helical elements and three loops (D, anti-codon, and T loops). Lineage: Bacteria; Pseudomonadati; Pseudomonadota; Alphaproteobacteria; Hyphomicrobiales; Hyphomicrobiaceae. RNAcentral also lists the same sequence under 2 other names. The record is from RNAcentral.